Molecule: ribosomal RNA, 325 nt
Filed under: uncultured eukaryote
Lineage: Eukaryota
Description: partial 18S ribosomal RNA
Rfam family: Eukaryotic small subunit ribosomal RNA
Source: RNAcentral
CCCUUAGACGUUCUGGGCCGCACGCGCGCUACACUGACGAAGGCAACGAGCUUUCCUUUACCGAAAGGUACGGGUAAUCUUUUGAAACUUCGUCGUGCUGGGGAUAGAUCCUUGCAAUUUUUGAUCUUAAACGAGGAAUGCCUAGUAAGCGCAAGUCAUCAACUUGCGUUGAUUACGUCCCUGCCCUUUGUACACACCGCCCGUCGCUACUACUGAUUGGAUGUUUAAGCGAGGUUCUCGAACUGCUAGCGACUUAGCUUCGGUGAGGUCGCAGUGUGGGAAGUGAACCUAGCUUUGGUGUCUAGAGGAAGUAAAAGUCGUAACA